UACGUAUGUCGCAAGCGUUGUCCGGAUUUAUUGGGCGUAAAGGGCUUGUAGGUGGUUUGUCGAGUCUGUCGUGAAAUCCUGUGGCUUAACCAUGGGCUUGCGGUGGGUACGGGCAGGCUUGAGUGCGGUAGGGGAGAGUGGAAUUCCUGGUGUAGCGGUGGAAUGCGCAGAUAUCAGGAGGAACACCGGUGGCGAAGGCGGGCCUCUGGGCCGUUACUGACACUGAGGAGCGAAAGCGUGGGGAGCGAACAGG
This 253-nucleotide ribosomal RNA is filed under the name uncultured bacterium. RNAcentral describes it as "partial 16S ribosomal RNA". It matches the Rfam family "Bacterial small subunit ribosomal RNA", at positions 524 to 776 of the family's 1533-position model. The record is from RNAcentral.